UGCAUACUAAUUCGUAUUGGUUAGUCUCAACUAGAGCAGGGCUUUUGAACCAAUGGGAACUUGUUAUCACUUAUGUAAAUUCUAUUGAUGCAAUGGUUUGCUUUAGCUGGUGCUAACAGUUUGUAUGCAGUACAUGCAAUUUAAAAGUGAUCGCUGUUUCAUAAUGUGGAAGGAUAGACACAGCAGAGGUGCCACCUGGGCUGCUCACCUCUCCUUGGCCUCACUUGUGGAUGAGAGCCAGCUGCUUGGCUCAGUUAAAGGCUUUGAAGGAGGGAGGAGUAAGAAGACCACAUAAAAGAAUGGAGACCAGAUGUGAGAGGAGGGAUUUGGAAGGCAGAAACUUCAUGACUGAAGAGGAUAUGCAACAGUCUGUUACCCAGGAAUUGUAUAAAAGCUCACCUGGAGCCUUGCCUGUCUCCAGAAUUGUGGGUAUAUAUUCAGAAGAGCCGUAAGCUGAGAUGGACUUACUGGAAACCAGAAGGUGAAGCCUUCUACUAAAAGGAAAACCAGGUGCAGGAUAGCGGGUGUAAGAUUGGAAGUUCAGCCUGACCCACAUCUCCCUAACUCCAUUUCAGGUUGAGCAUCCCUUGUCUGAAAUUAUCUGAAAACUGACCAGAAAUAUCUUGGAUUUUUUGGGAUUUUGGAAUAUAUGCAUAUACAGAAUGGAAGUAGG
Molecule: long non-coding RNA, 673 nt
Organism: Sceloporus undulatus (fence lizard)
Lineage: Eukaryota; Metazoa; Chordata; Lepidosauria; Squamata; Phrynosomatidae
Exons: 3
Source: RefSeq, a predicted model, not a curated record